This 497-nucleotide ribosomal RNA is filed under the name uncultured bacterium. Its description in RNAcentral is "partial 16S ribosomal RNA". It matches the Rfam family "Bacterial small subunit ribosomal RNA", at positions 28 to 507 of the family's 1533-position model. The record is from RNAcentral.
GAUGAACGCUGGCGGCGUGCCUAAUACAUGCAAGUCGAGCGAACAGACGAGGAGCUUGCUCCUCUGACGUUAGCGGCGGACGGGUGAGUAACACGUGGAUAACCUACCUAUAAGACUGGGAUAACUUCGGGAAACCGGAGCUAAUACCGGAUAAUAUAUUGAACCGCAUGGUUCAAUAGUGAAAGACGGUUUUGCUGUCACUUAUAGAUGGAUCCGCGCCGCAUUAGCUAGUUGGUAAGGUAACGGCUUACCAAGGCGACGAUGCGUAGCCGACCUGAGAGGGUGAUCGGCCACACUGGAACUGAGACACGGUCCAGACUCCUACGGGAGGCAGCAAUAGGGAAUCUUCCGCAAUGGGCGAAAGCCUGGCGGAGCAACGCCGCGUGAGUGAUGAAGGUCUUCGGAUCGUAAAACUCUGUUAUUAGGGAAGAACAAAUGUGUAAGUAACUAUGCACGUCUUGACGGUACCUAAUCAGAAAGCCACGGCUAACUACGUG